AACGAACGCUGGCGGCAGGCUUAACACAUGCAAGUCGAGCGCCCCGCAAGGGGAGCGGCAGACGGGUGAGUAACGCGUGGGAACAUACCCUUUGGUUCGGAAUAACUCAGGGAAACUUGAGCUAAUACCGGAUACGUCCGUAAGGAGAAAGAUUUAUCGCCAAAGGAUUGGCCCGCGUCCGAUUAGCUAGUUGGUGAGGUAACGGCUCACCAAGGCUACGAUCGGUAGCUGGUCUGAGAGGAUGAUCAGCCACAUUGGGACUGAGACACGGCCCAAACUCCUACGGGAGGCAGCAGUGGGAAUAUUGGACAAUGGGCGCAAGCCUGAUCCAGCCAUGCCGCGUGAGUGAUGAAGGCCUUAGGGUUGCAAAGCUCUUUUGUCCGGGAAGAUAAUGACUGUACCGGAAGAAUAAGCCCCGGCUAACUUCCGUGCCAGCAGCCGCGGUAAU
This 448-nucleotide ribosomal RNA is filed under the name uncultured bacterium. RNAcentral describes it as "bacterial SSU rRNA". It matches the Rfam family "Bacterial small subunit ribosomal RNA", at positions 29 to 524 of the family's 1533-position model. The record is from RNAcentral.